This 653-nucleotide long non-coding RNA is filed under the name Marmota monax (woodchuck). Lineage: Eukaryota; Metazoa; Chordata; Mammalia; Rodentia; Sciuridae. The record is from RNAcentral.
CAUGAUACAUUUUUCUCUCUUCCCUUCUCCUACCAUUUGAACUUUCUUUCCUUUCACCUUUGUUGAGCCACUGGCUUGGGAUGGGGAUGUGGAAUGAGGUGGGAAUACCCUGGGCAUUGCUGGUCCUCUCCACACUGAAAGACCUCAACUUGGUAGUCUUGACAAGGCCCAUGUUGUUCAACUGACAGAUGACUUCCAAGUGUCCAUUCUUCCUUUUCCAACUCUGACCUUGGUAACAGUGUUCAGGUCUUUAGUAGAGAAGAAUGAAAUUUACCCACUGUAUUGAAGCUCCCUAAUUUAUCAAGAGAGCUACAUAGAGAGAGCUGGAAACUAUAUCCAUCUUUCCAUCUUCACAUGAGUCUAUUUAACCCCCACCUGGCUUAUUGUGUUUUCCUGCUUUCAACCUAUCAGGUCUAUGAUUACAACAGAAAUACCAUCACCAACAGCUCAGGUGGGAAUUGUUCUCAGAGAUAUUUGCAAAGCCUUGUCAUACAUUCCAAUGAGCUGCUGGCCCAGGUGACACUCACCCUGUUCCCACAUCUCCUAAAAGAGUGAUAUUUCUGUGUCAAUAGACAUAUUUUGCCCCACAAAAUAAGGAGAACAUGCAAUUUCAAUGCAAAUUUUGACAUUUUAAGAUGACUGGUUUACUGUCU